AUGCAGGUGCUAAGGUUACUUAAUGCAGAAUGCAGGUGCUAAGUGUUAUUACUACCUACUUAUGUUGUGGAAUGUAGACUGAUUUCUGUGUAUAUCAUUGUGCAAAUAUGACAUGUCGUGGGCUUGGGGUAGACCGACUGUCCCGACUGACGCCGUCAGUCACCCGGCGGCAAGACCGACUUGCUAAUACAUAAUGACCACAAAGUACAAACCUACACGUAGUCUAGAGAUGAUAAAUAUACCAGUCAACCAAUAUAUUUAACAUCAUUCAAUAAAAUUAUCAUAUCAACUUCAACCAUUUCAACCUAUUAUCCAAUAAAUUACACAGUGCUUAUCACUGCUUCAAGAUCAGAGCAAACACAAUCAAUGAAGAGGAAGUUCAUCUUUCCCUGCUUUUGGUCACAAAAGAGUGUUUUUCUUCUGAUUCUAUUCUACAUGCAACUAUAACAUAAUAUUCUGAAAUACAAGAUCGACAAGAGAAACAUAGUUAGACAUGUCCUGCUACACCUGAUCCCAAGAUUGGAAAGAGUAUGCUGCUUGUUGGACAGACUUUUGUCAGCUACCAGGAGUGCAAUGUCAUGAUCAGCACAACUAAAAUUGUCCUGGUCUGUCAGAAUCUAUUUUGCCAGAUGCUGGAGCAGGUGGUGAUCUCAAUAUUCUUGAGUCACCUUUUCCUCAACAAAAUUAUAUCGCUCACCUUAGGUUAAAUCCAACAACAAUUAUGUCUUCUGUAUUUGUUUUAUUUAUUUCUUUCCAUCCCUUACCUACCUAGAUGAUUAACAACAUGAACAAUAAGUGUCUGUCCAGAAUUAUAGUAAUAAGGAUGUUGGUCAUACUUAUCCUAAUGUUUCAAAGGUAUUGUGGUAAUAUAGGUACUAUGGCACUACUGUGCUGGUCAUUGGACAAU
Leptidea sinapis is the source of this 907-nucleotide long non-coding RNA. RefSeq lists it as uncharacterized. The record is from RefSeq and is a predicted model, not a curated record. The transcript has 3 exons. NCBI's taxonomy places the organism in Eukaryota, Metazoa, Arthropoda, Insecta, Lepidoptera, Pieridae.